AUGGCCUCCUUGACCAUGCUCGUGACUUCGAUCAUCUGGAAUGAAAGAAAUGCUCGGGUCUUCCGGCAUAAGAGCGCCCCACCGCCAAUUUUGCUCACUAUCAUUACCAACGAGGUAAAUCUUUGGGUCACCGCCGGAGAAAAAAAUUAG
Molecule: ribosomal RNA, 150 nt
Filed under: Triticum aestivum (bread wheat)
Lineage: Eukaryota; Viridiplantae; Streptophyta; Magnoliopsida; Poales; Poaceae
Description: partial small subunit ribosomal RNA
Source: RNAcentral